GCUUUAUAGUUUAAUAAAAUAUAAAUCUUGUAAAUUUAUGAUAUAGGCCCCCUAUUAAAGCUAA
This 64-nucleotide transfer RNA is filed under the name Leptomyrmex pallens. Its description in RNAcentral is "tRNA-Thr". It matches the Rfam family "tRNA". Rfam says of the family: Transfer RNA (tRNA) molecules are approximately 80 nucleotides in length. Their secondary structure includes four short double-helical elements and three loops (D, anti-codon, and T loops). The record is from RNAcentral. Lineage: Eukaryota; Metazoa; Arthropoda; Insecta; Hymenoptera; Formicidae.